AGCGCAGGCGGUCUUGUAAGUUGAUUGUGAAAACCCCGGGCUUAACCCGGGAGUUGCAGUCAAAACUGUAAGACUUGAGUACGGGAGAGGAAAGCGGAAUUCCUAGUGUAGCGGUGAAAUGCGUAGAUAUUAGGAGGAACACCAGUGGCGAAGGCGGCUUUCUGGACCGUAACUGACGCUGAGGCUCGAAAGCGUGGGGAGCAAACAGGAUUAGAUACCCUGGUAGUCCACGCUGUAAACGAUGGAUACUAGGUGUAGGGGGUAUCAACUCCCCCUGUGCCGGAGCAAACGCAAUAAGUAUCCCGCCUGGGGAGUACGGCCGCAAGGUUGAA
Molecule: ribosomal RNA, 332 nt
Filed under: uncultured bacterium
Lineage: Bacteria
Description: bacterial SSU rRNA
Rfam family: Bacterial small subunit ribosomal RNA
Source: RNAcentral